UAUUAAUGGUCAUGUAAAGCCGCUUCUUCA
This 30-nucleotide non-coding RNA is filed under the name Rattus norvegicus (Norway rat). The record is from RNAcentral. Lineage: Eukaryota; Metazoa; Chordata; Mammalia; Rodentia; Muridae.